AUUCGCUAGUAAUCGCGCAUCAGCCAUGGCGCGGUGAAUACGUUCCCGGGCCUUGUACACACCGCCCGUCAAGCCAUGGGAGCCGGGGGGUGCUUGAAGUGCGUCGCCGCAAGGCGCGCCCUAGAGCAAAACCGGUGACUGGGGCUAAGUCGUAACAAGGUAGC
RNAcentral lists this ribosomal RNA (164 nucleotides) under uncultured bacterium. Its description in RNAcentral is "partial 16S ribosomal RNA". It matches the Rfam family "Bacterial small subunit ribosomal RNA", at positions 1330 to 1500 of the family's 1533-position model. The record is from RNAcentral.